GAUGAACGCUAGCGAUAGGCCUAACACAUGCAAGUCGAGGGGCAUCACAUGAAGUAGCAAUACGGAUGGUGGCGACCGGCGCACGGGUGAGUAACACGUAUGCAACCUGCCUUCAACAAGGGGAUAACCCGUUGAAAGACGGACUAAUACCCUAUAACACAGGGGUCCCGCAUGGGAAUAUUUGUUAAAGGACAACCGGUUGAAGAUGGGCAUGCGUUCCAUUAGCUAGUUGGCGGGGUAACGGCCCACCAAGGCAACGAUGGAUAGGGGAACUGAGAGGUUUAUCCCCCACACCUGGUACUGAGACACGGACCAGACUCCUACGGGAGGCAGCAGUGGGGAAUAUUGCACAAUGGGGGAAACCCUGAUGCAGCAACGCCGCGUGAAGGAUGAAGGUUUUCGGAUUGUAAACUUCUUUAGUCGGGACGAAUAAAUGACGGUACCCG
Molecule: ribosomal RNA, 446 nt
Filed under: uncultured bacterium
Lineage: Bacteria
Description: bacterial SSU rRNA
Rfam family: Bacterial small subunit ribosomal RNA
Source: RNAcentral